This 252-nucleotide ribosomal RNA is filed under the name uncultured bacterium. RNAcentral describes it as "partial 16S ribosomal RNA". It matches the Rfam family "Bacterial small subunit ribosomal RNA", at positions 524 to 776 of the family's 1533-position model. The record is from RNAcentral.
UACGAAGGGGCUAGCGUUGUUCGGAAUUACUGGGCGUAAAGCGCACGUAGGCGGAUAUUUAAGUCAGGGGUGAAAUCCCAGAGCUCAACUCUGGAACUGCCUUUGAUACUGGGUAUCUUGAGUAUGGAAGAGGUAAGUGGAAUUGCGAGUGUAGAGGUGAAAUUCGUAGAUAUUCGCAGGAACACCAGUGGCGAAGGCGGCUUACUGGUCCAUAACUGACGCUGAGGUGCGAAAGCGUGGGGAGCAAACAGG